AAUUAUAUUGAAUGAAACCUGCUCAAUGAUUUAAAUAGCCGCAGAAAAUUUACUGUGCUAAGGUAGCAUAAUCACUUGCCUUUUAAUUAAAGGCUAGAAUGAACGGUUAUAUAAUUAAAUAAUUUUUUUCAGUAUUAAAAUUAAACUUACAAUAAAUAUAAAAAUAUAUUUAUUUAUACAAAAGACGAAAAGACCCUAUUGAACUUUACUAAAGUUAAGCUGGGGAAGCUUCUUAAUAAAAAUUUUAAAUAAAACAUUAAAAUUAAUAACUCUUAUAAAGAAAUUUUAAUCAAGUUACCAUAGGGAUAACAGCGUAAUAUUUUUUUAAAGCUCUUAUUUAAAAAAAAGUUUACGACCUCGAUGUUGAAUUAAUUUUUCUUUUGGCGCAAGAGCUAAACUAGAUAAGUCUGUUCGACUUUUAAAAAAUUACA
RNAcentral lists this ribosomal RNA (431 nucleotides) under Eidmannella sp. 1599. Its description in RNAcentral is "partial 16S ribosomal RNA". It matches the Rfam family "Bacterial large subunit ribosomal RNA", at positions 1841 to 2600 of the family's 2925-position model. Lineage: Eukaryota; Metazoa; Arthropoda; Arachnida; Araneae; Nesticidae. The record is from RNAcentral. RNAcentral also lists the same sequence under 3 other names.